RNAcentral lists this long non-coding RNA (1386 nucleotides) under Piliocolobus tephrosceles (Ugandan red Colobus). RNAcentral's name for it is "lncRNA (ENSPTEG00000009406.1)". The record is from RNAcentral. Lineage: Eukaryota; Metazoa; Chordata; Mammalia; Primates; Cercopithecidae.
CAACAUAUACAUCAACAAUUGGUUUCAAAUCUGUGCUUGCUGGCUGAGAAGAGGGGUUAAAAGUAUGGGCUCUGACAUCCCAGGAUUGAAUUCUAGCUUGACUUUCGGCAAAUUACAUAAUAUUUCAGUGCCUUAGUCUCCAGCUCUGGAAAAUGAGGAUGAUAAUAAUUGCACGCCCUUAAAAAUUUGUUGUGAGGAGUGUAAAAUAACAUUUUCUCCUUAUGGGAGCAUUUCUCAAGGAUGGAUCAUAACUGACUACUGUGUUUCUCAAGGUUGGCUCCAAACCAGCAGAAGCUGAAUAAAGGACUGUGAACUUGGAAUGACUAUGGGACGCUAGGCUCUUACUGGUCCUAACUGAAGACUUGUUCCCAAACAGUGAAAUUAAUUAAUCAUUUAUUCAGAAUCUCCACUUCCUGCUAGUUGUCCAACUGGCAUGGCAGCAGCUCCUUCCUGCAAAGCAAUGUUGAAGAAGCUAUGGAAGCAAGAAGGAAGCAUGGAUUCUAGAAACUGAUGACAAACCACUUACCCCUAUUGCUCUUCUUCCUAAAGCUAAAGAACCCUAGGACCUUGAGGACACCAUUUGAAAACUAUUCAUGGAGAACAUGGCAUCCUAGAAUGAGAAAUCUGCAUCUGGAUCAAACUGCAUCAUGGAAGCUGCACACGAUGACACCCUGUCCGGAAAGUUUUUGCCAGAGGGCAAAAGACUGCAAGCAGAAUAUCCCUUCACCAUUUCUCAUGAAGCCCUGGAGAGGAUCGUUCAUGGAAACAAGGAUGACGAGUGUGGUAAGAAGUACAGGUGACUCGUGAGUGGGCAGGCAGUGGAAGAGAAGAUGGCUGGAAGGUUUUAGCAUUCAGAAAAAAAUGGAGACAACUAGAGUUGAUCUGAAGAUUAUGGCAGAAUUCAAUAUUGGGGCAAAGAAACAAGAUGGGGGUUAGAAAUUAGAAACAGCAGAGCUCCGCAGGUUGGAAAGGAUUUGAGCAAGAGAACAAAAAGGAGCCUGCUAAUAGCACCCUGGGUUUACAGCAAGAGAAGCACCUGGAGAGAAUUAACUCGGGAGGAGGUGGGGGCAUGGGAAACCUUUUCAUCUCCAAGAGUGGGCAGGAACAGCAGCUGGCCUGAACUUGAAGGUACACCAGGUAGCUUGCCUGGGCCAGGAGAAGGUGAUUCUCUUCUAUACCUCUCUCCAACGCCCCGCUUCUGAUGCUGCUCCUCUACCCAUAUUGAGGGGAAGAUAUAUCCCUAAGAAGUUCCCUGCACCCCAUUUCUUGUUCUGGCUAACUGGUCCCCUAGGAAUUUUUCUCCUAAUUUUCAUUUCCCCUUCUCACCUGGUGAAAUCUUAAAUCUUACUGUUCAAUAAAAGUUCUUCUACCAAAAUUUCUAUACCA